Long non-coding RNA from Sinocyclocheilus anshuiensis, 1104 nucleotides. RefSeq lists it as uncharacterized. The record is from RefSeq and is a predicted model, not a curated record. The transcript is spliced from 3 exons. Lineage: Eukaryota; Metazoa; Chordata; Actinopteri; Cypriniformes; Cyprinidae.
UCUGCAAAAAGAAAUGCCAAACGACAGCUUGACCAUUUCUGCCAGCAACAGUGAUACAGACAUAGGUGAUAUAGUUUCACCUACACAAUACGACCAUGGAUGGAAAUAGCACUUGUUUCCCAUCAAGUAAUUCUACAGAGGGUUGCAUCCCUGGCAGCAGCCCGUCACUUGGACUUGCUGUUGGUUUGCCUAUAUUCUUUGUGGCUUUGUUGCUGGUGGGGAUAGCAGUGUUUUUCUGGUUUCGACACAGAAAAUCGGUUGAUAUUGAGUUAUCUAACAAACUUAAGAGCCAAGAUAAGAGCCAAGAUGAUCAUUCCAGGGAGUCUCCGUACAGUGUAUACGCCGGAGGACUUCAACCCGCACCACAGAGCCCAGUCUAUGAGAACUUUCAUGGACAGUCCAAUCUGCAUGAAUUUCAGAGUUGUUCUGUACAGAGCAAGGACACACACAGAGACCAUCAAGCAUACCUGCAGUGUGAUCCACAUGAUGCAAUCUACAGCAAUGAUCCUGCCCUCUUCCAUCCAGAUCAGGCUGAAAUCUCUGAGGAUGUUUACAUCAUGCCAGAUGCUUGAAAGUCUGAAAUGGUUUGCUGUCCAGUAUUAAUCCACAAAAUGUUCAGGAUAAUUUGUACUUACAUGAUAUGAAAUAAUAGUAAGUCUUUAUUUUCAAAGGGUAAAAUCAAGGGCAAAACAUUCUGGCCAAGAAAUAGUUUUGACUUGAGGGAUUGAAAUGCCCUUACAAGCAGUACACAAGCCAAUGUAAUUUAUUGACUGAACACACUGUGAGACAGCAAAACAUAAUCAUGACCUCAUUUAUCACAGUUUAACAGGUGUUCUUGCCGACUGCAAAUAAUCCCCACUGAAACGACCAGCGUGAAUGUUCCAUGCUCUACAGACUGGUUUAUACUGGUUUGUUGGACCAACAUGCUAAGUUCUAGUUGAGAUGUUGGUCAGUAUGCUGGACAGGGAUAGGGGGACUUUCAUACGUUUUAAUGUUAAAAAUGUUUCCUGAAUUAAUUAAGUUGAUAUCUUUUUGUAUAUUAUUGUUCAAAAGUUUGUGGUCAGUAAGAUUUUAUUUGAAGAAGUAAAUACUUUCAUUUAGCAA